GUCCUAGCCGUAAACGAUGGAUACUAGGUGUCGGGGGUAUCGACCCCUCCGGUGCCGCAGCUAACGCACUAAGUAUCCCGCCUGGGGAGUACGGCCGCAAGGUUGAAACUCAAAGGAAUUGACGGGGGCCCGCACAAGCGGUGGAGCAUGUUGUUUAAUACGUCACUAACCGUAGAACCUUACCAGGGCUUGACAUCUGCUGACCGCCGGUGAAAGCCGGUUUUCCCCGCAAGGGGACAGCAAGACAGGUGUUGCAUGGCUGUCGU
Molecule: ribosomal RNA, 266 nt
Filed under: uncultured bacterium
Lineage: Bacteria
Description: partial 16S ribosomal RNA
Rfam family: Bacterial small subunit ribosomal RNA
Source: RNAcentral